RNAcentral lists this long non-coding RNA (282 nucleotides) under Ananas comosus (pineapple). Its description in RNAcentral is "long non-coding RNA (ACOM_LNC022210)". The record is from RNAcentral. Lineage: Eukaryota; Viridiplantae; Streptophyta; Magnoliopsida; Poales; Bromeliaceae.
GGCUAUGUGGAGGCCCAAGGUGGCCAUGGCCCCCCUCAACUUUUCAAUAUUUGCUUAAUGGUCCUUCAAAUUUUUUUUUAUUGUACCAUGAAUAGAUUUAGCUCCCCUAGUUUUUCAAUAUUUACUUAAUAAUAUGGUGCCAACAUAACUCUCUCUCUCUUUCUCCUAAUCGAUAUACUCUUUUUAUGGAUGAAAAUAUAUUAAAAUCUUCUUGCUUAUAGAGUCUUUGGUAAUAUAUUUCUCUACUCUAAAAAUUUUAUUUAAUAAUUUUUUAAACUUUUA